GUUCAAUUUAAUUCUGGUUGUGGGAGGGAUUUGGGACGGUGCCACAUAGAAUUUGUCUUUGGGAUGUAGCCUGGAGGUUUUUGGUGUUGUUUAGUGGUUAGAUCUUGGUCUUUGAGGUAACUCAGAUUGGGCUGUCUCAGGUGAAGUGGAGGAUUCGCAGUGCCAGCAUCCGCGGUUAUUCUGUUAAUUUCCCCUCCGGCUUGGUUUAAAUAUUUUGUGGGGUAUUCUGACAUUUGGGUAGAAUUUUUGUUUUGUUGAGAUAUGCCUACAAAGAUUUUGAGUGUUUUUUAGGAAAAGGAUUAGAGACCCUUGUACUGAACGGGGUAUUUUGUGGCCAUGGUGUAAACUAAAAGGAUUUGGCAGCCGAUGAGGUUCUUCCGGGGGAGUGUGUGGCGUAAGAGAUAGUCCACUUAGGAUCUUGCCAUUGUUAUUAGUUAGUGUAUAUCCGGUUUAAGAUUCGUGAUUUGUGUCAUUGAGUGUUAUUUGUUUUAAUUGAAGCCAGGUCAAUGUGCUGCUUAUGCGAUGGUGCUUGUGCACUACUUUUUAAAGGAUUUUUGAUGUAAUUUGAAGAGGUUUAGGACUCGGAAGUAGGCAGAUUGAGGUUUGUUCUGUCGAAUUUGGAUUUAGUUGGGGUACAUACCGCCCGUCACCCAGGGUGAUAACUGUGGUAAGUCGUAACAUGGUAAUGUUGGGGGAACCGGACAUUAGUUGGCAUAUCUCAUUUGUGGGAUGCCC
Molecule: ribosomal RNA, 735 nt
Filed under: Paragonimus kellicotti
Lineage: Eukaryota; Metazoa; Platyhelminthes; Trematoda; Plagiorchiida; Troglotrematidae
Description: 12S ribosomal RNA
Source: RNAcentral